GUGCUCGCUUCAGCAGCACAUAUAAUAACAUUGGAACGACACAGAGAAGAUUAGCAACGCCCCUGUGCAAGGAUGACAUGCAAAUUCAUGAAGUGUUCCAUAUUGUU
Cynocephalus volans (Philippine flying lemur) is the source of this 107-nucleotide small nuclear RNA. The record is from RefSeq and is a predicted model, not a curated record. Lineage: Eukaryota; Metazoa; Chordata; Mammalia; Dermoptera; Cynocephalidae.